This 613-nucleotide ribosomal RNA is filed under the name uncultured Alphaproteobacteria bacterium. RNAcentral's name for it is "bacterial SSU rRNA". It matches the Rfam family "Bacterial small subunit ribosomal RNA", at positions 1 to 649 of the family's 1533-position model. The record is from RNAcentral. Lineage: Bacteria; Pseudomonadati; Pseudomonadota; Alphaproteobacteria.
GGCCGCGAAAUUCGCCCUUAGAGUUUGAUCCUGGCUCAGAACGAACGCUGGCGGCAGGCCUAACACAUGCAAGUCGAACGAAGCCUUCGGGCUUAGUGGCGGACGGGUGAGUAACGCGUGGGAACGUGCCCUUCUCUACGGAAUAGUCCUGGGAAACUGGGUUUAAUACCGUAUACGCCCUUCGGGGGAAAGAAUUUCGGGGAAGGAUCGGCCCGCGUUGGAUUAGGUAGUUGGUGGGGUAAUGGCCUACCAAGCCGACGAUCCAUAGCUGGUUUGAGAGGAUGAUCAGCCACACUGGGACUGAGACACGGCCCAGACUCCUACGGGAGGCAGCAGUGGGGAAUCUUAGACAAUGGGGGCAACCCUGAUCUAGCCAUGCCGCGUGAGUGACGAAGGCCCUAGGGUCGUAAAGCUCUUUCGCCAGGGAUGAUAAUGACAGUACCUGGUAAAGAAACCCCGGCUAACUCCGUGCCAGCAGCCGCGGUAAUACGGAGGGGGUUAGCGUUGUUCGGAAUUACUGGGCGUAAAGCGCGCGUAGGCGGACUAUUAAGUCAGANGUGAAAUCCCGGGGCUCAACCCCGGAACUGCCUUUGAUACUGGUAGUCUUGAGUUC